UGGUCAUUACCGAGGCUUAGAAUGCGGUUUCUCAUUUUCUGUGGACAAGACCAUAAACAAAAAAUCCUCACUACAUUUUCUUUCUACUCCCUUGUUAGCAUUCAGCCAAUUGGGAACAUGU
Manis javanica (Malayan pangolin) is the source of this 121-nucleotide small nucleolar RNA. RefSeq annotates it as small nucleolar RNA SNORA32. The record is from RefSeq and is a predicted model, not a curated record. NCBI's taxonomy places the organism in Eukaryota, Metazoa, Chordata, Mammalia, Pholidota, Manidae.